UACAGAGGGUGCGAGCGUUGUCCGGAAUCACUGGGCGUAAAGCGUGCGCAGACGGUUGCGUAAGUCAGAUGUGAAAGCCCCGGGCUCAACCUGGGAACUGCCUUUGUGACUGCAUCGCUGGAGUGCGGCAGAGGGGGAUGGAAUUCCGCGUGUAGCAGUGAAAUGCGUAGAUAUGCGGAGGAACACCGAUGGCGAAGGCAAUCCCCUGGGCCUGCACUGACGCUCAUGCACGAAAGCGUGGGGAGCAAAUAGG
Molecule: ribosomal RNA, 253 nt
Filed under: uncultured bacterium
Lineage: Bacteria
Description: partial 16S ribosomal RNA
Rfam family: Bacterial small subunit ribosomal RNA
Source: RNAcentral